CGAACGGGUGAGUAAUGCGUGACCAACCUGCCCCAUGCUCCAGAAUAGCUCUUGGAAACGGGUGGUAAUGCUGGAUGCUCCAACUUGACGCAUGUCUUGUUGGGAAAGUGUUUAGUGGCAUGGGAUGGGGUCGCGUCCUAUCAGCUUGUAGGCGGGGUAAUGGCCCACCUAGGCUUCGACGGGUAGCCGGCCUGAGAGGGCGGACGGCCACAUUGGGACUGAGAUACGGCCAAGACUCCUACGGGAGGCAGCAGAC
RNAcentral lists this ribosomal RNA (256 nucleotides) under uncultured Gardnerella sp. RNAcentral's name for it is "partial 16S ribosomal RNA". It matches the Rfam family "Bacterial small subunit ribosomal RNA", at positions 99 to 354 of the family's 1533-position model. Lineage: Bacteria; Bacillati; Actinomycetota; Actinomycetes; Bifidobacteriales; Bifidobacteriaceae. The record is from RNAcentral.